RNAcentral lists this ribosomal RNA (206 nucleotides) under uncultured bacterium. RNAcentral's name for it is "partial 16S ribosomal RNA". It matches the Rfam family "Bacterial small subunit ribosomal RNA", at positions 148 to 353 of the family's 1533-position model. The record is from RNAcentral.
UACUGGAAACGGUAGCUAAUACCGCAUAACGUCGCAAGACCAAAGAGGGGGACCUUCGGGCCUCUUGCCAUCGAAUGUGCCCAGAUGGGAUUAGCUAGUAGGUGGGGGUAACGGGCUCACCUAGCGACGAUCCCUAGCUGGUCUGAGAGGAUGACCAGCCACACUGGAACUGAGACACGGUCCAGACUCCUACGGGAGGCAGCAUG